RNAcentral lists this ribosomal RNA (511 nucleotides) under uncultured bacterium. RNAcentral describes it as "bacterial SSU rRNA". It matches the Rfam family "Bacterial small subunit ribosomal RNA", at positions 58 to 548 of the family's 1533-position model. The record is from RNAcentral.
CAAGUCGAACGUGAAAGGGCUUCGGCCUGAGUAAAGUGGCGCACGGGUGAGUAACGCGUGGGUAAUCUGGCCCGUCCGGGCGGGGGAUAACGGGUCGAAAGACCCGCUAAUACCGCAUAAGACCACGGCCUCGAGGGGUUGUGGGAAAAGGUGGGGAUCUUCGGACCUAUCACCUGGAGAUGAGCCCGCGUGCCAUUAGGUAGUUGGCGGGGUAAUGGCCCACCAAGCCGAAGAUGGCUAGCUGGUCUGAGAGGAUGAUCAGCCACACUGGAACUGAGACACGGUCCAGACUCCUACGGGAGGCAGCAGUGGGGAAUAUUGCGCAAUGGGGGAAACCCUGACGCAGCAACGCCGCGUGUGUGAUGAAGGCCUUCGGGUCGUAAAGCACUGUGAGGUGGAACGAGCCGCCGGGGGCUAAUACCCUUCGGCCCGACGGUACCACCAGAGGAAGCACCGGCUAACCCCUGUGCCAGCAGCCGCGGUAAUACAGGGGGGUGCAAGCGUUGUUCGG